Molecule: ribosomal RNA, 562 nt
Filed under: uncultured fungus
Lineage: Eukaryota; Fungi
Description: eukaryotic LSU rRNA
Rfam family: 5.8S ribosomal RNA (bases 187-340)
Source: RNAcentral
UCCGUAGGUGAACCUGCGGAGGGAUCAUUACAAGUGACCCCGGUCUAACCACCGGGAUGUUCAUAACCCUUUGUUGUCCGACUCUGUUGCCUCCGGGGCGACCCUGCCUUCGGGCGGGGGCUCCGGGUGGACACUUCAAACUCUUGCGUAACUUUGCAGUCUGAGUAAAUUUAAUUAAUAAAUUAAAACUUUUAACAACGGAUCUCUUGGUUCUGGCAUCGAUGAAGAACGCAGCGAAAUGCGAUAAGUAAUGUGAAUUGCAGAAUUCAGUGAAUCAUCGAAUCUUUGAACGCACAUUGCGCCCCCUGGUAUUCCGGGGGGCAUGCCUGUUCGAGCGUCAUUUCACCACUCAAGCCUCGCUUGGUAUUGGGCAACGCGGUCCGCUGCGUGCCUCAAAUCGACCGGCUGGGUCUUCUGUCCCCUAAGCGUUGUGGAAACUAUUCGCUAAAGGGUGCUCGGGAGGCUACGCCGUAAAACAAACCCAUUUCUAAGGUUGACCUCGGAUCAGGUAGGGAUACCCGCUGAACUUAAGCAUAUCAAUAAGCGGAAGAAAAGAAACCAA